Acyrthosiphon pisum (pea aphid) is the source of this 586-nucleotide long non-coding RNA. RefSeq lists it as uncharacterized. NCBI's taxonomy places the organism in Eukaryota, Metazoa, Arthropoda, Insecta, Hemiptera, Aphididae. The record is from RefSeq and is a predicted model, not a curated record. The transcript has 4 exons.
UUUUUAAAAUAUUUUGACUUUUUUUGAAUAGUUUUUAUAGUUUUAUGGUGUAAAUUUCGUAUCUCGAUUUCUUGUACAGUUAAUUAAUGCAAUUCUUUCUAAAAUUAUAAAAAAUGAAUGUUAUUACCUACCAUUCUCACUACCUACAAUAACAAUAAUAAUAAUAAAGUUAAUAAUAAUAAUAUACAUAAUCUUUACACCGUUCCACGAGAGAACGUACACGUUUUUCGUCCGUCGCUGCGCAUCUGCCACCAUUUUCUUCCGUUUGGUUACGAUCGUUAACUGUUUGGCUGGCGGUUGGUAAGACUCCUCGCAUACGUAGUCGCAGGGCCGUAAAAAGUUAAAGACAUUUAGCUUCCGCGCUGUCACCGGCGUCAACGAACUAUAUUACAUACACGUUCCUAAUAUUUUUUCCAUACAAAUUUUUUAUAGAUUUUAAUUUUAUAAAAUUUAAAUUGUCAGGUGAAAAAACUUGGGAAGAACGUUUAGUUAAAAUAGAAAUACUCUGUAGGGAUUACCAAACUGUGGAAUAUGAAGCUCAAAAUUAUUAUCUUAACAAAUUUAAGAAAAUUAUUUAUAAACUAAC